AGAGUUUGAUCCUGGCUCAGGAUGAACGCUAGCUACAGGCUUAACACAUGCAAGUCGAGGGGAAACGAUAGAGAAAGCUUGCUUUUUCUAGGCGUCGACCGGCGCACGGGUGAGUAACGCGUAUCCAACCUGCCCACCACUUGGGGAUAACCUUGCGAAAGUAAGACUAAUACCCAAUGAUAUCUCAAGAAGACAUCUGAAUGAGAUUAAAGAUUUAUCGGUGAUGGAUGGGGAUGCGUCUGAUUAGCUUGUUGGCGGGGUAACGGCCCACCAAGGCGACGAUCAGUAGGGGUUCUGAGAGGAAGGUCCCCCACAUUGGAACUGAGACACGGUCCAAACUCCUACGGGAGGCAGCAGUGAGGAAUAUUGGUCAAUGGACGAGAGUCUGAACCAGCCAAGUAGCGUGCAGGAUGACGGCCCUAUGGGUUGUAAACUGCUUUUAUAAGGGAAUAAAGUGAGUCUCGUGAGACUUUUUGCAUGUACCUUAUGAAUAAGGACCGGCUAAUUCCGUGCCAGCAGCCGCGGUAAUACGGAAGGUCCGGGCGUUAUCCGGAUUUAUUGGGUUUAAAGGGAGCGUAGGCCGGAGAUUAAGCGUGUUGUGAAAUGUAGAUGCUCAACAUCUGCACUGCAGCGCGAACUGGUUUCCUUGAGUACGCACAAAGUGGGCGGAAUUCGUGGUGUAGCGGUGAAAUGCUUAGAUAUCACGAAGAACUCCGAUUGCGAAGGCAGCUCACUGGAGCGCAACUGACGCUGAAGCUCGAAAGUGCGGGUAUCGAACAGGAUUAGAUACCCUGGUAGUCCGCACGGUAAACGAUGGAUGCCCGCUGUUGGUCUGAAUAGGUCAGCGGCCAAGCGAAAGCAUUAAGCAUCCCACCUGGGGAGUACGCCGGCAACGGUGA
Molecule: ribosomal RNA, 899 nt
Filed under: uncultured bacterium
Lineage: Bacteria
Description: bacterial SSU rRNA
Rfam family: Bacterial small subunit ribosomal RNA
Source: RNAcentral